Molecule: small nucleolar RNA, 157 nt
Organism: Raphanus sativus (radish)
Lineage: Eukaryota; Viridiplantae; Streptophyta; Magnoliopsida; Brassicales; Brassicaceae
Product: small nucleolar RNA snoR138
Exons: 1
Source: RefSeq, a predicted model, not a curated record
AUAGCCUCCGAAUAGCGAGAAGGUUCAAUAUCUGAAUACCUUCUGGUUCAGACAGAGGCUUACAUUAAAACUCGAAUCAGCUUUGCGGGUUAAAGAGGUUUAUUCUUUUUGGCCCUUCAAAUCUCCCAUUCCUUUUCUUGGAUAGAUUCGAAUAUCU